RNAcentral lists this long non-coding RNA (3518 nucleotides) under Monomorium pharaonis (pharaoh ant). Its description in RNAcentral is "uncharacterized LOC118645700". The record is from RNAcentral. Lineage: Eukaryota; Metazoa; Arthropoda; Insecta; Hymenoptera; Formicidae.
AAAAAUUAUGUCAAAUUAUAAAAUUUACAUUUAUUUUUGUUAAAAUAUAACAAUAUUUAUGUUGUUAUUUAACAUAUGCUUAAUAUGUUAAAUUAACACAAAGAUUUGAGUAGAUGACUUGGGUGAACUGUGUUAAAUUUAAUAAUUUAAUAAAUUUAAUAACAUUUUUUACUGUGUAUAUAAUAUUACCUUUACAUUUUUUUAACAUUGCGAAAACAUUAAAAUAACAUUGUGAGAAUGUUAAAAUAACAUUAUUACAAUGUAAGAAAAAAAUUAAAUUUACGUUUCUCAACAAGCACGGUUUCUCAACAAACCCGCCAUAGUCGCAUUUGGUAUUGCCUAACUUCUUGACAUAGUUACUUCUCAACAAAGUACGCACCGUACCUUUGCACACUUCUGCCCAGGACACCCCUACCGGCAGGGUAAGUGUGGAGAGGGGGCAAAGGCUCCUCUUGCACCCCUCCCCGUGCGUGCGUGCGUGCAUGUGUGGCCACAGCGAAGAAGUGUCGUAUCAUAUUUAUUAAAUUUUUUUGUUAAUAACUUUUAUAUAUAACUCAAAAACUAAAAUCGAACGGCGGUAAGAUGUAUUUGGAAAAGUUGUUCAGAAUAAUGACCCUGACAACAUAUUUGAAGGUAAUCAAAAUCGGUCAGAAAUCGCUAAUGUAAAUAAUUACCAUAUAUUUAAUUAUGUAAUUUUGUUACUUGUAACUUCUUAAGAAAGACUUGCCCAUCUCUAAAAGCAUUUCUACAUUUUAUUUUUAUGAUAGUUUUGUUAAUUGGUACUUAUAAAAAAAUUGAUUUUUCGCUCCAGUAACUAUUAUAGACAUUUACCAUUUUAAGAAUAUUUAUAAAAUUAUGUUAUAACGUUUAAUAACAUUUCAAACACACGUGCCUCAUGUUUUUAGAAUAUUUUUAUAAUACUAGGACAAUAAAUUUUUUGUUAGGACAACAAAAAAACAAAAAAGAAUUAUUCUAUAAACAACGGUAACGAUGUGAAAUUGGAUGAUAAGAGCUCAAAUAAAAACAAAAAAUUUUUCGUAUUGCCCUAAAAAAUAUCUCAGAAAUUGCUGACGAACAAAAAUCUUUUUACUGUUGGCUAUAGAUGCGUUAACAAAUUAGACACAUGGAUUAAAGUACAGAAGGCUAAAACAGAUCACAAUCUAAAAAACAAUAUUGUAUACAAAAUAUCUUGCUGUGAAUGCGAUACGUCAUACGUCGGACAAACAAAAAGAAAACUAAACACUAGAAUUAAAGAACAUACCAACAAUUUCAAGUCUGAAUCAUCGCGACACUCAGUGAUUACCAAACAUAUAAUCGAUACACGUCACACAUUUGACUGGAAAAAUACAAAGAUUCUGGAUCAUGAACCCAAUUACUAUAAGAGAUUAAUCUCGAAAAUAAUUCAUAUAAAAGAACAAAAAAACGGUAUAAACUUGCAAAAUGACACUGAGUCUCUUGAUAAUUCCUAUUCUUGCUUAAUCCAUUGUCUUGCUAAUAUAAACAUAUAACAUAUACACACACCUUAUUCGGUGUCAAGAGUUCACUCUCCUUUUGACUGUCGUUCCCUGUACACGCAUUAUAUAAUUGACGAUACAAUUUUUCAAAAUUUGGGGCUUUCUAUUCUUUUUACCAAUUAACUAAAGCACACGUAAGUCUCUUACAAAAGUUUCUUUCCAUUUUUUAUAUUAUUAUCAACAUUGUAUAUAUAUUUCUUCCUUUUUAUUUUUAUUUAACUAACCACUCAUUCAAUUUUAUUACCUUUUUAUCUUAUUUUACUUGUUUAGUUAUUUAUUUAUUUUAUUUUUCUUUCUCUCUUUUUGUUGAACAGUUUUGUUGAACUUCCACAAGUUGCGCUUUUACAAGUCUCUGAUUAACACUAUCGGAUCUAUUUUACAUAUUUUCUUUGCUUAAGAACAAAGAAUAAUUUCGUUUCUAAAAGCAUCCUAGAAUCUCAUACAUGUAAGUGGUUUUCAUAUAACAAUUUUCAACUCUCAAUUAUUAAUUCCUUGUUGACACAUCGCUUUUUGUUUUUAAUCCUAUAGUUUUUUCAACAAUUCUAAUUUACUUGACGCCCCGUUUCUACUUAGCAUCGAACUCCUCACACGUUAUUGUUUACACAAGGAACGUUACUUCAGACUCAAGGUUUAUGAACCUAACGAUAGAUUUGAUCUUUCUACAAUCGGACUUAACUUAUUUUAUAAAUUAACAUACCAUUGUAUUUGACUUCCAAUUUAUAUGUCAUUUUACAAUUUUAAAAUACUUCUUAUUGCGUUAUUUAUCUUUUUUAAUUGAUGUUACCCGUGCGCUUUUUGCAGAUCUGUUCUUUCGUUCUUUUGUCUGUAUUUACGUUUUAUUGUUUAAUUUUAUUAUACCCUAUGCGAUUGAAAAGGACUAAGUAAAGUCGAAACGUUUCGCCGCUUUCAAUAAUUUUUUAAUAUAUUAAUUUUACACCUAUUUUGUCAUUUACGUGCGUAAUAAUAAAGAUUAAAUUUUGUAUCUCCACCUUAUAUUAGCUCGAUCAUUGACCUUCUUGCAAUACCAUUUGCUUUUUCAUUGUAUGUUCUUAUCUUUUAUACAAAACAUAAUAAUUAAAAUAAGAUUGUAAACAAUAUUUUCAUGAUUUAAUUCGAUUUAACUUGAUUCAAUUUGUUUCGAUUCGAAUAAAAAUUCAUCGAUUCAAUUAGAUUCGCUUUGACAUCAAAAAUUUUUGAUUCAUACAUCUCUAAUACUUAACCCAACCUUAUAAUUUUUAAUGAUCUGACAACGCGCAGGGAUGAUCAUACUGCACCGUUAUUUAGGCUUAGCAAACCUACGCGGACUUGAGCUCAUCACAAUGUGGACAAUUAUAUACACAUAAACAAUACAUACACUCACCUACAAUUGACCCAUCUACAUACAGGGUGUCUCGCAUAAGGUAUGAAAUACUUCAUGGAAAGAUAGACGGAAUCAAGACACCCUGUAUAUACAACACAUAUACCUAUCUAGAUUAUCAUAUCAGUAUAGUAAAACCAGUGGAAGAGUUAACGAGAGUAGGCCUAAAGUUACAAGUGUCAUAUAUCUAUAGAAAAUCUGACAUAUUAAACUAAAAAAAAAAAUCUGACAGUAAAAUAACAGCCGACCAUGUCAUAUGUACGGUAUCAAGUAAGGCAUUACGCUCUGUCUAUUGUGCCAUAUUUAUACGCGCUCCGACGUAGUUCUUUUGUUGGACAGAGUAUAUUUUACAAAAUUUGUUUAAAUACACAAUUUGUUUAGGUCUCAUGCUUCAACAUACUCCUAUUUGCCCCAAUGUGCUUGUUAACCGAUCACAUUAAUCAGUUGGUGCGUUGGAGCAAAUAGGAGUAUGUUAGAGCAUAUAACGCAAACAAACUUAGUGUCAAUUUAGAACGAUGUCCUCUAUUGUUACUUUUUUAUAUUUAAAAACUCGCGAGUUAUAUGAAAAUGUUCAUAAAAUGCUUGUGGAUAUCAUAUUUAUUACUAAUAAUUAUCAAUUAUCAAUAUUUUACAUAAUAAAAAAAAAA